This 67-nucleotide transfer RNA is filed under the name Zaglossus bruijni (long-beaked echidna). RNAcentral describes it as "transfer RNA-Pro". The record is from RNAcentral. Lineage: Eukaryota; Metazoa; Chordata; Mammalia; Monotremata; Tachyglossidae.
CAGAAGGUAGUUUAUUCAGAAUUUCAACUUUGGGAGUUGAUGGUAGGGUUUUUAGCCCUCUUUCUGA